GGUACUUAGAGAAGGAACAGAUGUUCCUUCUCUCUCAUCCAGCCAUUAGUGGGGAGAGGUGGUGGUCAGGAAACACUUCCUGGAAGACAGAACACCUGAGAGAAUUCAAAAUGAGAGGAGAUCCACGUGGAGAUGAAAACAGCUAUUCCUCAGAGUCAGAGCUGGGGAGUAUCUUCCUCAGUGAUCACUUAGAUUUUAGCCCCUUUGGAUGGCUUCUAAAUAAGUGUAUGCUGUGGUAGCUACACUACAUAUCUAUGGGAUGCUUGCAAGAAUACAAAAAUGAACUUUACUAGUUAUGAGAGACUACAUUGCUGAAGCCAAUGGACUCUAAAGUACAGUGGUUCAAACCCAAUAGAAGAUUAUCACACAUAAAGCAGGGUGAAUAUUCCAAGUCAGCUGCAACGGUCUUCCGCAUGGAAAAUCAGGACUGCGAGCUCCUCCAUCUGAGAUUCAGCUUUCCUAAGGUCUUGAUGUCUCUUUGGUCCAGUUAAAGGAAGUGGGGUGGGGAAGGAAGGUGUGGACACUUUCUUAAAGGGCUACGCUAGGGACUGGUACACCAUAUUUCUCCUUAUAUUUUGUUGGCAAAAAUUAAUCACAUGGCCACAGACAGCUGCAAGAGCUGCUGGGAAAGUUAGUUCCAGGUUGCGCAACUGCUUCCAGUCAUAACUCUAUUUCUAUGGACGAGGAAGAUCUUGGUGAGCAGCUAUUGUCUUACUCACAAAAGCUGAGAGAAAGAAAAUGGAUAAAAUGGAUAGCCACAGAAAAUCUAAGUUAAGUCACUAAUAAAAAUGCCUCUCUGCUCCA
This is a long non-coding RNA of Homo sapiens (human), 804 nucleotides long. RefSeq lists it as uncharacterized. The transcript is spliced from 2 exons. Lineage: Eukaryota; Metazoa; Chordata; Mammalia; Primates; Hominidae. The record is from RefSeq and is a predicted model, not a curated record.